This is a non-coding RNA of Sarcophilus harrisii (Tasmanian devil), 193 nucleotides long. The record is from Rfam. Lineage: Eukaryota; Metazoa; Chordata; Mammalia; Dasyuromorphia; Dasyuridae.
UCUCAUGAGACAAAGGAUUCGCUCCUGAGCCCCGCCACACCUUAAAAAAUGCUUUGAAGGGCUUGCCAAGCUCACUUUUAAUCAUGGGAAAGAAAUUACCCACAUGGAGUCAGCAGAAAAUGAAAAAGUGGGCCUCGUGCUGAGAUAAUUCCAGCAAGUGCCAAGGGGCUAGUUGAGAUAUGGCUUCAUGAGG